This 394-nucleotide ribosomal RNA is filed under the name uncultured archaeon. Its description in RNAcentral is "bacterial SSU rRNA". It matches the Rfam family "Archaeal small subunit ribosomal RNA", at positions 143 to 519 of the family's 1478-position model. The record is from RNAcentral.
GGGUUAAUCCCCGAUAGGCGAAGAACUCUGGAAUGAAUCUCCACCUAAAAGGCGCUUGCGCUAUGCUCGCAGGUGUCGCCCAAGGAUGGGGCCGCAACCGAUCAGGUUGUUGGUGAGGUAAUGGCUCACCAAGCCUUUUACCGGUGCGGGCCGUGGGAGCGGGAGCCCGGAUAUGGGCACUGAAACAAGGGCCCAGGCCCUACGGGGCGCACCAUUCGCCAAAACUUUGCAAUACACGAAAGUGUGACAAGGCUAUCCCUACUGCCAUCCGAUGAGGAAGGCUUUUACCCAGUUUAUAACGCUGGGAUAAUAAGGAGAGGGCAAGACUGGUGUCAGACGCCGCGGUAAUACCAGCUCUUCGAGUGGUGUGGAUGUUUAUUGGGCCUAAAGCAUC